GAUGAACGCUGGCGGCGUGCCUAAUACAUGCAAGUCGAGCGAACAGAUGAGGAGCUUGCUCCUCUGACGUUAGCGGCGGACGGGUGAGUAACACGUGGAUAACCUACCUAUAAGACUGGGAUAACUUCGGGAAACCGGAGCUAAUACCGGAUAAUAUAUUGAACCGCAUGGUUCAAUAGUGAAAGACGGUUUUGCUGUCACUUAUAGAUGGAUCCGCGCCGCAUUAGCUAGUUGGUAAGGUAACGGCUUACCAAGGCAACGAUGCGUAGCCGACCUGAGAGGGGGAUCGGCCACCCUGGAACUGAGACACGGUCCAGACUCCGACGGGAGGCAGCAGUAGGGAAUCUUCCGCAAUGGGCGAAAGCUUGACGGAGCAACGCCGCGUGAGUGAUGAAGGUCUUCGGAUCGUAAAACUCUGUUAUUAGGGAAGAACAAAUGUGUAAGUAACUAUGCACGUCUGGACGGUACCAAAUCAGAAAGCCACGGCAAACUACGU
RNAcentral lists this ribosomal RNA (496 nucleotides) under uncultured bacterium. RNAcentral's name for it is "partial 16S ribosomal RNA". It matches the Rfam family "Bacterial small subunit ribosomal RNA", at positions 28 to 506 of the family's 1533-position model. The record is from RNAcentral.